Molecule: unclassified non-coding RNA, 511 nt
Filed under: Arabidopsis thaliana (thale cress)
Lineage: Eukaryota; Viridiplantae; Streptophyta; Magnoliopsida; Brassicales; Brassicaceae
Source: RNAcentral
CUGUAACAACAAAAAUGGAGACGACACAACUUGGAAGAGAAAUCAACUCGAAAUAGCCAAGAGAAUGUUCGAAAACCCCCUCAAAUCCGAUGCUUCCUUUGAUUCCAACCUCCAAAAGCCCAUCUGCUCAAAUCUUCAUUUCGAGGACGAGGACUCGAGGAGUAUUACAAGUGGUCAAUUUUGUGAUGGGAUUUGAUUGAAAUUGGAGAAUGGUUUCAUGAAAUCUCCUCUUCGGGCUGAGGUUGAUUCAUGACUCUUUCAUUUUUCUAGUGUCUCAUUGAUGAUAGACAUAAGAAGCACCAUUGCUGAAUCAUAUUGUUUGGCACAGUUCUAGUUGACCAUCCACAAGUGGAAUAGUUGGGAUGAUAAAGAAGCUUGGAAACUAAAGAUUCUCACUUUCACUAGUGAAUAAUACAUUCAUUUUUAAAAACGUUUUUUGUUCUGUUGUUUUAUUUCUUUCUAUAAUAUUUUACAAGUUACCGAAGCUGAAGAAGAAUGUUGUAACAAGUGA